CAGGUGGCGCAGCAGCUGCAGACCGGAUCCAGGAUCUGACUCAGUGCGGACCGGGAGCGGAGGCAGAACCCCCCUCUGGACCGGACCCUGCUGAGGAAGAGUUUAAAGUUUCUACAAGCAGAGACAGGAUGGGUUCGGCCCGAUACAGUCACCAUCAGAACCAUCAGAACCAGCAGAGGUUAAAGGGUCCUCAUGAAUCCCCUGAGUGAUGGAGAGAAGAGUCUGAAAGACUGGAUCAGCAGGAGGGAGUGUGACCAGAACCGGACCAGGGAGGAGGGAGUGUGAUCAGAACCGGACCAGGGAGGAGGGAGUGUGAUCAGAACCGGACCAGGGAGGAGGGAGACUCCAGGAGGAGGAUCAAUAUCUAAUUUCAGCUCUGAGCUCACACUCGAUGCUUUUCCAAUAAGUCUGGAUUAAAGAGUUUAAAGAGU
Molecule: long non-coding RNA, 431 nt
Organism: Austrofundulus limnaeus
Lineage: Eukaryota; Metazoa; Chordata; Actinopteri; Cyprinodontiformes; Rivulidae
Exons: 3
Source: RefSeq, a predicted model, not a curated record